AGGCUGGUCAGGCUGAACCACCUCCUCCUCUGGACUGGGUCCGUCCUUUGAGAGGUCACUGAGGAACACCUGCGAAUUCCCCAAAUGUGGGAAUCUCGACUGCAUAAUUUACGGUAGUGGGGGACUGCGUUCGCGCUCUCCCCUG
This 145-nucleotide small nuclear RNA is filed under the name Sinocyclocheilus rhinocerous. RNAcentral's name for it is "U1 spliceosomal RNA (ENSSRHG00000022438.1)". It matches the Rfam family "U1 spliceosomal RNA", at positions 23 to 166 of the family's 166-position model. From Rfam's summary of the family: U1 is a small nuclear RNA (snRNA) component of the spliceosome (involved in pre-mRNA splicing). Its 5' end forms complementary base pairs with the 5' splice junction, thus defining the 5' donor site of an intron. There are significant differences in sequence and secondary structure between metazoan and yeast U1 snRNAs, the latter being much longer (568 nucleotides as compared to 164 nucleotides in human). The record is from RNAcentral. Lineage: Eukaryota; Metazoa; Chordata; Actinopteri; Cypriniformes; Cyprinidae.